This 240-nucleotide unclassified non-coding RNA is filed under the name soil metagenome. Its description in RNAcentral is "partial contains 5.8S ribosomal RNA, internal transcribed spacer 2, and large subunit ribosomal RNA". The record is from RNAcentral.
AACAAGGCGUACCUGCGGACCUGCGGAAGGAUCAUUACCGAGUGCGGGCCCGCUCAGGGCCCAACCUCCCACCCGUGUCUCUUGCGUACUUUGUUGCUUUGGCGGGCCCACUGGGUCACUCCGGUCGCCGGGGGGCGCUAUGCUCCCGGGCCCGUGCCCGCCAGAGCACCCCUGUGAACCCUGAUGAAGAGAGGCUGUCUGAGUCCCACGAUAAUCGUUAAAACUUUUAGCAAUGGAUCU